Dromaius novaehollandiae (emu) is the source of this 2157-nucleotide long non-coding RNA. RefSeq lists it as uncharacterized. The transcript is spliced from 3 exons. NCBI's taxonomy places the organism in Eukaryota, Metazoa, Chordata, Aves, Casuariiformes, Dromaiidae. The record is from RefSeq and is a predicted model, not a curated record.
UCUGUAAGGGCUCAUUGCUCCCAGUGCUGCAGUGCAGAAAAGCCCCACUCCCACAGCCAUGACAGACCCGCAUGGAAGGAACUACAUGAGACCAGAAGCUAAAAACAAGGGUGGGCCUGGCUGGACAGAGGAGCAGAGAAGAGUAAGACCUGGAGAGCAGAUCCUGGGCAGCUUUCAGAAGGACAGAAUGCACAGAGUGGGGUGACGGCCUCUUCUCCCCUUUGGACGAGCAGCUCCUCACCUGUAUCAUUUGAAUAUCCCCAAGGAUGCUGUCAUCAGACUUUUCUUCAUUAUUGCUUUGAAGAACAAACCUGUACUUGUUUUAACAAGUCACAUCGCGGGAGACAUUAUUCUACGCUAUCCACCCACACAACCCUGGGAUUUAUUUUCAUUUGAGGACUUCUUAAACAUUCCAGCAGUCAACUGAAGGAACCAAUAUUAGAAGACAUGUAGGAUUCACCACCUGUAAAUCAUGAACUUUACUUGUGGGAAAGGCACAUACUUGCUUUGAGAUGGAAUGGUCAGUAGCACUCUUCAUGGCUACAAGAGGUUGGCUUUAGUUUUUAGUUCUGUGACACUGAGUGACUAAUCAUAAUGCCAUUACAUGUGUUUAAGUUCAUGUGCUUUCUGUCUACCUCUCCUAUACAGAUCAGUCUAAGAAAGAAUAGAUAAAAAGCAUUUGACAAUCACAGAAGUGAGAAACCUGCAGUAGAAUUCAAUCCUAUGGUAGGACAUAAAGGACCGGAUUUCACCACGUAUUAUAUAUACGGGUGUUAGUUUAUCUGGAGCAACAGUUAACCCACAACAUUUUGUCAUGUUAAUAGAUGGCUCCAAGCCAUUCCGGGGUCAGCCAACUGCAGCAAAGAAUAGCACAUUCUUCUCUCUCACCCCUGCUUCCUCACAACAACUCACUGUGAAAGACAGGAUGGCUAUUUCCCUUAUCAUCUGAUGUAUUUUCUUAAGCCAAUUGCCCGUAGCUAUGAAGCAGCCUGGGAUGAGGCUAAUCCUAGCAGUGAUAUUGCCAUUCUGAGGUAUCAAAUUCAUCAUAAUUUUUGUGCCAUAAUUUCCCCUAACAGUAGCAUUCCACCUGCCUCAGAAAAGGGCUUUUGGCUUUAAUGUUUGUACUUAUUUCUAUAUCUGGGAUAUUGAAAAUAUUAAUAUUGAGAGGACUUGUUAUUCAAAGUCAGAGCUACUUGGAAAUACUUAUGCCAGCAGGAGAGACAGCUUAGUACUUCGGAAUUAUCUGCAUCACCUCACAGGUCAGUCCUAUUGCAGGAGUUCACAGCAAUUGUGAAUAACAGCUUCCUUUCCCUUCCUCCCUGUACAGUUUUACCCUACUUAACCUUAGAACAGAAUUUAUACCCCUGCAUCCAGAAAGUUCUGAAUUACCUUUUCCUGUGUAAAAUACUCUUGCAGCACCAACAUCAGUCAGGCGAGGAUUUUGAAGCUAAGACAUAACUGCUUGCUCAAGGGGUACCAUUUUUUCAUGUAGGUACACAGUUGUUCAGUUGUCUUAAGACAUAGCUAAAAUAACUUUCUCCUAACAUUACUUUUAUUCAAUUACUAUGUAACUACAGUAUAUUUUGUGAUCUCAAAUGGCAGAGAAGGUUAACUGUCCAAAAGAGGAACUUCACAAAUGUUUUCAGCAGUAGUGAUUUAGUAUGCGGUGUUCAGGAAAUAUCUCCAGUACAGCUCCCUAAUUCUAGUCAAUGCUGCUAUUUCCAAUUUAGGAUUAACGAACAUUUCCUCUAAAGUAAAGAAGAUGUGUUUCUUUAGAAGCACAACUAACUCCAAUAACUUUAGCCUUUUAAUCUUUUUGCUAAGAGGAAAAAACAAAACAAAACAGGUAAGUCCUUACCUAGUUAUUUUCAUCUGUCCCACCCACAUAUGAGCUUUGCCUUUGUCUCACUGGGGUGCAGCAAGCAUCUGUAUUUUCUAAUUAUCUGGACUAAUGCUGGGGUUCAUGUAGAGAGCAGGAAAAGUCUGCUUUAUUGUGUGGGGAAGGGGAGGUGGAUCUCACCUUUUUGUUAGGUAGCAGAACAAGAAAAUCCGAAAGCCCUCUCAAAAGAAGUUUCAGAAACUGCUACUCUUCCAUCCAUACAAUCCCUAUCUACUGGCAAGAGAAAGGUUACAGUGAGUCAGCUGCUCCCUAUUUCG